Priapulus caudatus is the source of this 1503-nucleotide long non-coding RNA. RefSeq lists it as uncharacterized. The transcript is spliced from 3 exons. The record is from RefSeq and is a predicted model, not a curated record. Lineage: Eukaryota; Metazoa; Priapulida; Priapulimorpha; Priapulimorphida; Priapulidae.
UUACCACUAGUUACUACCAGUAAUUUUUGGUCUGCAUUCAUUGGUGUGAUGUGCACACAGAAAAAUACUCUUAAAUGUUUUAUCCUCCCACACAUCGCAUCAGAAAAUGACAUUAGAUUGUAGCCUUCUGUUUGUGAAGAAAGUAUAAAUUAAAAUUAAUAUACUUUUUAUUUAUUUCUCAGCAUCGGAGAAAAUAAAGUUGCUCAUUGAUAGGACGGAGGGUAAUUGCUGCUUUCGUUUGCACAAUGACCGGGUCUAUUAUGUUAGGUUUAAUGUGGAGGCUGUCGAGGGUCGAAAGCACCAGGUAUCACCAGGCGGCGCUGCACGACAGGUAACGACCAGGAGGUUCUUUGCAGGAUGUGUAGAUGGAGCUCUACUUGGAGGAACUCGGGGGACAGGGUGGAGGAGGCGAACGCGCAGUGCCAGACCGACCCGCCUCCCCGUUGUUCAUCCCCGCGAAGAUGGGAGUCAACGCCGUGACACGGAUCUACGACGGUAACGUACGUGAGUGCAGCGCGAGCACGUGCCAACGGUGCAGACGCAGCGAUUGUCGCCGGGAGGUGUGGGGGGCGGUCCAGUUUUAGUUUUUAAUCGAGGGGGGUAAGGCGAGCGUUGCCCUCAGGUUUAGUUGAAACUUUCUAGGGCACCGCAGCAGGUCAGAGCUUCACCGCAGCAAAGAUCUCCUUCGGACGAGGGCAUCGUUGUCAUCGAGGCAAAUUAGUUCUAAUUGAGAUUUUUUUACAUAAGACGGGCCGGUGCGCAUAUACGACACUGAAUGCAUGGGAAGUGCAUGGGGUUAAAUCGGGUGAUGCAGUAUGAGAAAUUUUUACACGCCACGUACAAGAAACUCCAUAACUUCACCACGUUUCCAUCAACGGUCUACGAUAACAAAGUUGACGUUCAGCCUAUAAUGUAGAGACCGAUCUCCACCUGAUCCCAGCUGGCACCCGCUGCGAUGGGAAUUUGAUUGUUGGUGUGAGAUGUAUUCUGAUAUCUUUUGAUGACGUGAUAUCGUGACCAUGGCGGUGAGGUACCGGUUCGUGAUCAUGCUCUACGUUAGCCUCCUUAGACCAUUUGUAUGAAGGAUUUUCCAAGUCUCCCUCAUCGUACUCGUCACUGUGACCUUGAGCAAUAACGCUGUGUACGGUAGACAGAAUAGCGAUCGUGGUAAUAAAGAGAAAUAACGUCGAUUUCUUUUUAAACAACAACUCAAACUUUCCAAUGGUCCCCGCCAUUUUUCCAGACGUGGCUAAUGAACAAUUAAGCAGGUGGUGCCAUCUGCUGAUUGUAUUUGGUGAUUAUUAAUAUUAUAGAUGACGGUGUAAAUAAUCGUAAAUAAUUGUAAAAAAUCAUAAAAAACAUGUUGAUAAGUUUGUGUUCAUUUGAGAGCACGUAUAUUGAUAUACGUGCUCUGGUUUACGUUAUACAUCUUAUAGUAGAGCUGUAGAUGUUCGCUGCGUGAGCUAACCUAAAAUAAAGUAAGCAAACACUAUAUUACAAGUC